This 253-nucleotide ribosomal RNA is filed under the name uncultured bacterium. RNAcentral's name for it is "partial 16S ribosomal RNA". It matches the Rfam family "Bacterial small subunit ribosomal RNA", at positions 524 to 776 of the family's 1533-position model. The record is from RNAcentral.
UACAGAGGGUGCAAGCGUUAUCCGGAAUCACUGGGUUUAAAGGGUGCGUAGGCGGGAAGAUAAGUCAAGGGUGAAAGCUCGUCGCUUAACGACGGAAUUGCCUUUGAUACUGUUUUUCUUGAAAUAUGUUGAGGUUGGCGGAAUGAGACAUGUAGCGGUGAAAUGCUUAGAUAUGUCGUAGAACACCGAUUGCGAAGGCAGCUGACUGGACAUUAUUUGACGCUGAGGCACGAAAGCGUGGGGAUCAAACAGG